Molecule: ribosomal RNA, 120 nt
Filed under: uncultured bacterium
Lineage: Bacteria
Description: partial 16S ribosomal RNA
Rfam family: Bacterial small subunit ribosomal RNA
Source: RNAcentral
AUUGAACGCUGGCGGCGUGCCUAACACAUGCAAGUCGAGCGGCAGCGCGGGGGCAACCCUGGCGGCGAGCGGCGGACGGGUGAGUAACGCUUGGGAAUCUGCCUGUUAGUGGGGGAUAAC